This 435-nucleotide ribosomal RNA is filed under the name uncultured Roseburia sp. Its description in RNAcentral is "partial 16S ribosomal RNA". It matches the Rfam family "Bacterial small subunit ribosomal RNA", at positions 341 to 792 of the family's 1533-position model. Lineage: Bacteria; Bacillati; Bacillota; Clostridia; Lachnospirales; Lachnospiraceae. The record is from RNAcentral.
ACGGAAGGCAGCAGUGGGGAAUAUUGCACAAUGGGCGAAAGCCUGAUGCAGCGACGCCGCGUGAGUGAAGAAGUAUUUCGGUAUGUAAAGCUCUAUCAGCAGGGAAGAAAAAUGACGGUACCUGACUAAGAAGCACCGGCUAAAUACGUGCCAGCAGCCGCGGUAAUACGUAUGGUGCAAGCGUUAUCCGGAUUUACUGGGUGUAAAGGGAGCGCAGGCGGUACGGCAAGUCUGAUGUGAAAGCCCGGGGCCCAACCCCGGUACUGCAUUGGAAACUGUCGAACUAGAGUGUCGGAGGGGUAAGCGGAAUUCCUAGUGUAGCGGUGAAAUGCGUAGAUAUUAGGAGGAACACCAGUGGCGAAGGCGGCUUACUGGACGAUAACUGACGCUGAGGCUCGAAAGCGUGGGGAGCAAACAGGAUUAGAUACCCUGGUA